UACGAAGGGGGCUAGCGUUGCUCGGAAUCACUGGGCGUAAAGCGCACGUAGGCGGCUUACUAAGUCAGGGGUGAAAUCCUGGAGCUCAACUCCAGAACUGCCUUUGAUACUGGUGAGCUUGAGUCCGGAAGAGGUGAGUGGAACUGCGAGUGUAGAGGUGAAAUUCGUAGAUAUUCGCAAGAACACCAGUGGCGAAGGCGGCUCACUGGUCCGGUACUGACGCUGAGGUGCGAAAGCGUGGGGAUCAAACAGG
Molecule: ribosomal RNA, 253 nt
Filed under: uncultured bacterium
Lineage: Bacteria
Description: partial 16S ribosomal RNA
Rfam family: Bacterial small subunit ribosomal RNA
Source: RNAcentral